Molecule: unclassified non-coding RNA, 240 nt
Filed under: soil metagenome
Description: partial contains 5.8S ribosomal RNA, internal transcribed spacer 2, and large subunit ribosomal RNA
Source: RNAcentral
AACCUAGCACACCUGCGGUGUGUACCUGCGGAGGGAUCAUUAAUGAGUUAGGGUCUUUUAGGCCCGACCUCCUAACCCCAUGUUUACUGAACCUAUGUUGCUUCGGCGGGCCCGUCUCGCGACCGCCGGGAGGACCGUAAGACGUCCUCUGGCCCGCGCCCGUCGGUGGCCAAACUUGAAAUUCUGAUUAAACCGUGUUAAACUAUCUGAGUUCUAUUCUUAAAUUAAAGCAAAAACUUU